This 500-nucleotide ribosomal RNA is filed under the name uncultured bacterium. RNAcentral describes it as "partial 16S ribosomal RNA". It matches the Rfam family "Bacterial small subunit ribosomal RNA", at positions 30 to 523 of the family's 1533-position model. The record is from RNAcentral.
AUUGAACGCUGGCGGCAUGCUUUACACAUGCAAGUCGAACGGUAACAGGGUGCUUGCACCGCUGACGAGUGGCGAACGGGUGAGUAAUGCGUCGGAACGUGCCGAGUAGUGGGGGAUAACGCAGCGAAAGUUGUGCUAAUACCGCAUACGUACUGAGGUAGAAAGUGGGGGACCUUCGGGCCUCACGCUAUUCGAGCGGCCGACGUCUGAUUAGCUAGUAGGUGAGGUAAAGGCUCACCUAGGCGACGAUCAGUAGCGGGUCUGGGCGGAUGAUCCGCCACACGGGGACUGAGCCACGGCCCAGACUCCGUCGGGAGGCAGCAGUGGGGAAUUUUGGACAAUGGGCGAAAGCCUGAGCCAGCCAUGCCGCGUGUCUGAAGAAGGCCUUCGGGUUGUAAAGGACUUUUGUCAGGGAGGAAAUCCCUAGUGCUAAUAACACUGGGGGAUGACAGUACCUGAAGAAUAAGCACCGGCUAACUACGUGCCAGCCGCCGCAGUAA